RNAcentral lists this ribosomal RNA (497 nucleotides) under uncultured bacterium. Its description in RNAcentral is "partial 16S ribosomal RNA". It matches the Rfam family "Bacterial small subunit ribosomal RNA", at positions 28 to 507 of the family's 1533-position model. The record is from RNAcentral.
GAUGAACGCUGGCGGCGUGCCUAAUACAUGCAAGUCGAGCGAACAGACGAGGAUCUUGCUCCUCUGACGUUAGCGGCGGACGGGUGAGUAACACGUGGAUAACCUACCUAUAAGACUGGGAUAACUUCGGGAAACCGGAUCUAAUACCGGAUAAUAUAUUGAACCGCAGGGUUCAAUAGUGAAAGACGGUUUUGCUGUCACUUAUAGAUGGAUCCGCGCCGCAUUAGCUAGUUGGUAAGGUAACGGCUUACCAAGGCAACGAUGCGUAGCCGACCUGAGAGGGGGAUCGGCCACACUGGAACUGAGACACGGUCCAGACUCCUACGGGAGGCAGCAGUAGGGAAUCUUCCGCAAUGGGCGAAAGCCUGACGGAGCAACGCCGCGUGAGUGAUGAAGGUCUUCGGAUCGUAAAACUCUGUUAUUAGGGAAGAACAAAUGUGUAAGUAAAUAUGCACGUCUUGACGGUACCUAAUCAGAAAGCAACGGCUAACUACGUG